Molecule: ribosomal RNA, 249 nt
Filed under: uncultured bacterium
Lineage: Bacteria
Description: partial 16S ribosomal RNA
Rfam family: Bacterial small subunit ribosomal RNA
Source: RNAcentral
CCUGGCGACAGGAUGCUAAUCCCAAAAACCUACUCUCAGUUCGGAUCGAAGUCUGNAACCCGACUUCGUGAAGCUGGAUUCGCUAGUAAUCGCGCAUCAGCCAUGGCGCGGUGAAUACGUUCCCGGGUCUUGUACACACCGCCCGUCACACCAUGGGAGUCGGAAAUGCCCGAAGUCGGUGACCCAACCGAAAGGAGGGAGCCGCCGAAGGCAGGUCUGAUAACUGGGGUGAAGUCGUAACAAGGUAUC